RNAcentral lists this ribosomal RNA (253 nucleotides) under uncultured bacterium. RNAcentral's name for it is "partial 16S ribosomal RNA". It matches the Rfam family "Bacterial small subunit ribosomal RNA", at positions 524 to 776 of the family's 1533-position model. The record is from RNAcentral.
UACGUAGGGGGCAAGCGUUGUCCGGAUUUAUUGGGCGUAAAGAGCGUGUAGGCGGCCAGGUAGGUCAGCUGUGAAAACUCGAGGCUCAACCUCGAGAUGUCGGCUGAAACCAUCUGGCUAGAGUCCGGAAGGGGAGAAUGGAAUUCCCGGUGUAGCGGUGAAAUGCGCAGAUAUCGGGAAGAACACCCGUGGCGAAGGCGGUUCUCUGGGACGGUACUGACGCUGAGACGCGAAAGCGUGGGGAGCGAACAGG